ACCCCGGAAGGGGAGUGAAAGAGAACCUGAAACCGUGUGUCUACAAGUAGUCAAAGCACAUUAAAGUGCAAUGGCGUGCCUUUUGUAGAAUGAACCGGCGAGUUACGUUAUCUAGCGAGGUUAAGUCAGAAAAGACGGAGCCGGAGCGAAAGCGAGUCUGAAGAGGGCGAGAAGUUAGGUGACGUAGACCCGAAACCAAGUGACCUACCCAUGACCAGGCUGAAGGCGUGGUAAAACGCGCUGGAGGGCCGAACCCACGUAAGUUAAAAAUUGCGGGGAUGAGUUGUGGGUAGCGGUGAAAUUCCAAACGAACUUGGAGAUAGCUGGUUCUCUCCGAAAUAGCUUUAGGGCUAGCCUCGUGGAGAGGAUAAUGGAGGUAGAGCUCUGUUUGGACUAGGGGCCCGUCAGGGGUUACUGAAUCCAGAUAAACUACGAAUUCCAGAUAUCUAUACACGGGAGUCAGACUGCGAGUGAUAAGAUCCGUAGUCGAAAGGGAAACAGCCCAGAUCACCAGUUAAGGUCCCCAAAUCUAUGCUAAGUGGAAAAGGAUGUGGAGUUGCGUAGACAACUAGGAUGUUGGCUUAGAAGCAGCCACCAUUUAAAGAGUGCGUAAUAGCUCACUAGUCGAGUGGCGCUGCGCCGAAAAUUUACCGGGGCUAAGCAUAGUACCGAAACUGUGGAUGUACGUAAGUACGUGGUAGGAGAGCGUUCUAAGUGCGGCGAAGGUUAACCGAGAGGAUAAUUGGAGCGCUUAGAAGUGAGAAUGCCGGUAUGAGUAGCGAAAGAUAGGUGAGAAUCCUAUCCGCCGAAAGACUAAGGUUUCCUGGGGCAGGCUCGUCCGCCCAGGGUAAGUCGGGACCUAAGGCAAGGCCGAGAGGCGUAGUCGAUGGAUAACAGGUAGAGAUUCCUGUACUGUGUUCAAUCGUUAAGAGCGAAGGAGGGACGCAGGAGGUGAAGCACGCAUCGCGAUGGAACGAUGUUCAAGCGACAAGUGCGGUUAAGAGUCAAAUGCUUCUAACCAGCAACACGAGUCGUGAUGAGGAGCGAAGUAAAAGUAGCGAAGGUGUGGUAGUCACACUGCCAAGAAAAGCUUCUAGCCAGAGAGAACAUACCCGUACCGCAAACCGACACAGGUAGUCGAGUGGAGAACACUAAGGUGAGCGAGAGAACUCUCGUUAAGGAACUCGGCAAAAUGACCCCGUAACUUCGGAAGAAGGGGUGCUGGCCAUGAGAAUGGUUAGCCGCAGUGAAUAGGCCCAAACAACUGUUUAUCAAAAACACAGGUAUCUGCAAAAUCGUAAGAUGACGUAUA
RNAcentral lists this ribosomal RNA (1312 nucleotides) under Corethron hystrix. RNAcentral's name for it is "partial Bacterial large subunit ribosomal RNA". It matches the Rfam family "Bacterial large subunit ribosomal RNA", at positions 523 to 1847 of the family's 2925-position model. Lineage: Eukaryota; Bacillariophyta; Corethrophyceae; Corethrales; Corethraceae. The record is from RNAcentral.